CCUAAGGUAGCGAAAUUCCUUGUCGGGUAAGUUCCGACCUGCACGAAUGGCGUAAUGAUGGCCAGGCUGUCUCCACCCGAGACUCAGUGAAAUUGAACUCGCUGUGAAGAUGCAGUGUACCCGCGGCAAGACGGAAAGACCCCGUGAACCUUUACUAUAGCUUGACACUGAACAUUGAGCCUUGAUGUGUAGGAUAGGUGGGAGGCUUUGAAGUGUGGACGCCAGUCUGCAUGGAGCCGACCUUGAAAUACCACCCUUUAAUGUUUGAUGUUCUAACGUUGGCCCCUGAUCGGGGUUGCGGACAGUGUCUGGUGGGUAGUUUGACUGGGGCGGUCUCCUCCUAAAGAGUAACGGAGGAGCACGAAGGUUGGCUAAUCCUGGUCGGACAUCAGGAGGUUAGUGCAAUGGCAUAAGCCAGCUUGACUGCGAGCGUGACGGCGCGAGCAGGUGCGAAAGCAGGUCAUAGUGAUCCGGUGGUUCUGAAUGGAAGGGCCAUCGCUCAACGGAUAAAAGGUACUCCGGGGAUAACAGGCUGAUACCGCCCAAGAGUUCAUAUCGACGGCGGUGUUUGGCACCUCGAUGUCGGCUCAUCACAUCCUGGGGCUGAAGUAGGUCCCAAGGGUAUGGCUGUUCGCCAUUUAAAGUGGUACGCGAGCUGGGUUUAGAACGUCGUGAGACAGUUCGGUCCCUAUCUGCCGUGGGCGCUGGAGAACUGAGGGGGGCUGCUCCUAGUACGAGAGGACCGGAGUGGACGCAUCACUGGUGUUCGGGUUGUCAUGCCAAUGGCACUGCCCGGUAGCUAAAUGCGGAAGAGAUAAGUGCUGAAAGCAUCUAAGCACGAAACUUGCCCCGAGAUGAGUUCUCCCUGAGACUUUAAGUCUCCUGAAGGAACGUUGAAGACGACGACGUUGAUAGGCCGGGUGUGUAAGCGCAGCGAUGCGUUGAGCUAACCGGUACUAAUGAACCGUGAGGCUUAACCUU
This 981-nucleotide ribosomal RNA is filed under the name human gut metagenome. RNAcentral describes it as "bacterial LSU rRNA". It matches the Rfam family "Bacterial large subunit ribosomal RNA", at positions 1950 to 2925 of the family's 2925-position model. The record is from RNAcentral.